Molecule: ribosomal RNA, 402 nt
Filed under: uncultured bacterium
Lineage: Bacteria
Description: bacterial SSU rRNA
Rfam family: Bacterial small subunit ribosomal RNA
Source: RNAcentral
UGGGGAAUAUUGGACAAUGGGCGAAAGCCUGAUCCAGACAUGCCGCGUGAGUGAUGAGGGCCCUAGGGUUGUAAAGCUCUUUUGUGCGGGAAGAUAAUGACGGUACCGCAAGAAUAAGCCCCGGCUAACUUCGUGCCUGCAGCCGCGGUAAUACGAAGGGGGCUAGCGUUGCUCGGAAUCACUGGGCGUAAAGGGUGCGUAGGCGGGUUUCUAAGUCAGGGGUGAAAGCCUGGAGCUCAACUCCAGAACUGCCUUUGAUACUGGAAGUCUUGAGUUCGGGAGAGGUGAGUGGAACUGCGAGUGUAGAGGUGAAAUUCGUAGAUAUUCGCAAGAACACCAGUGGCGAAGGCGGCUCACUGGCCCGAUACUGACGCUGAGGCACGAAAGCGUGGGGAGCAAACA